AACGAACGCUGGCGGCAGGCUUAACACAUGCAAGUCGAACGCAUCCUUCGGGGUGAGUGGCAGACGGGUGAGUAACGCGUGGGAACGUGCCCUUCAGUUCGGGAUAACCCAGGGAAACUUGGGCUAAUACCGGAUACGUGCGAGAGCAGGAAGAUUUAUCGCUGAAGGAUCGGCCCGCGUCUGAUUAGCUAGUUGGUGGGGUAAUGGCCCACCAAGGCGACGAUCAGUAGCUGGUCUGAGAGGAUGAUCAGCCACAUUGGGACUGAGACACGGCCCAAACUCCUACGGGAGGCAGCAGUGGGGAAUAUUGGACAAUGGGCGCAAGCCUGAUCCAGCAAUGCCGCGUGGGUGAAGAAGGUCUUCGGAUCGUAAAGCCCUUUCGACAGGGACGAUGAUGACGGUACCUGUAGAAGAAGCCCCGGCUAACUUCGUGCCAGCCGCCGCGGUAA
RNAcentral lists this ribosomal RNA (449 nucleotides) under uncultured bacterium. RNAcentral describes it as "partial 16S ribosomal RNA". It matches the Rfam family "Bacterial small subunit ribosomal RNA", at positions 29 to 523 of the family's 1533-position model. The record is from RNAcentral.